AGGCAUAAAUGAAGAGGGAGAGCUUGACCCAAAACUCCUGUUUCAGCUUGUACUACAGUCGCACGGCCUGCUAAUCGUCGUCGUCUUUGUGCUGUUGCUGGCCGAGGCCGUGCCGCUCGUCGGAUUGGCUGUUCUGUGGAAGUGCUGCAUGGAGAGGCCAGACGAGAAACAGGCCUAAUCCACCAGGGCGACAGAUUUCGUAGACAAGACUACAUUCGCCUUCUGGAUAUUGGUCGUGUCCCUUAUAUGAUGCUACCCCCCGAAGUCGAGCAGCUCAUGGACAAGCUGAAGAACACCGACGUGUCGGCCCUCCUGGCACUGGUCAAUAUCAAAUGACGUGCUUAUUUCUAGUGCAACAAGC
Long non-coding RNA from Dermacentor silvarum, 361 nucleotides. RefSeq lists it as uncharacterized. The record is from RefSeq and is a predicted model, not a curated record. NCBI's taxonomy places the organism in Eukaryota, Metazoa, Arthropoda, Arachnida, Ixodida, Ixodidae. The transcript is spliced from 3 exons.